Molecule: ribosomal RNA, 427 nt
Filed under: Spharagemon collare (mottled sand grasshopper)
Lineage: Eukaryota; Metazoa; Arthropoda; Insecta; Orthoptera; Acrididae
Description: partial large subunit ribosomal RNA
Rfam family: Archaeal large subunit ribosomal RNA
Source: RNAcentral
AAUUAAAAGAGCCGCGGUAUUUUGACCGUGCAAAGGUAGCAUAAUCAUUAGUUUCUUAAUUAGAGGCUUGAAUGAAUGGUUUGACGAGAAAUUAACUGUCUCUUAAUAAAUUUUAGAAUUUAACUUUUGAGUUAAAAGGCUCAAAUAUUUCUUUAGGACGAGAAGACCCUAUAGAGCUUGACAUUUUUAUUUUUAUGUUAUUUUUGUUUAUUUUGAAAUAUAAUUUUUUUAAUGUUUAGUUGGGGUGACUUGAAGAAUAAUUAAACUCUUUAUUGUUAAAUCAUUGAUUUAUGUUUAUUUGAUCCAUAAUUUAUGAUCAUAAGAUUAAGUUACCUUAGGGAUAACAGCGUAAUCAUUUUUAAGAGUUCAUAUCGACAAAAUGGUUUGCGACCUCGAUGUUGGAUUAAGAUUAAUUUUAGGUGUAGUA